RNAcentral lists this ribosomal RNA (2919 nucleotides) under Lactiplantibacillus plantarum. RNAcentral's name for it is "Lactobacillus plantarum 23S ribosomal RNA". It matches the Rfam family "Bacterial large subunit ribosomal RNA". The record is from RNAcentral. Lineage: Bacteria; Bacillati; Bacillota; Bacilli; Lactobacillales; Lactobacillaceae.
UUAAGUUAACAAGGGCGCAUGGUGAAUGCCUUGGCACUAGGAGCCGAUGAAGGACGGGACUAACACCGAUAUGCUUCGGGGAGCUGUACGUAAGCUAUGAUCCGGAGAUUUCCGAAUGGGGCAACCCAGCAGUUUUAAUCAACUGUUACCACUAGAUGAAUUCAUAGUCUAGUUGGAGGUAAACGCUGUGAACUGAAACAUCUCAUUAGCAGCAGGAAUAUAAAGAAAUUUCGAUUCCCUAAGUAGCGGCGAGCGAACGGGGAACAGCCCAAACCAAAGUGCUUGCACUUUGGGGUUGUAGGACUGAACAUUUGAGUUACCAAAGAACUUGAUAGUCGAAGGAUUUGGGAAAAUCCGCCAUAGAUGGUGAUAGCCCAGUAGAUUAAAUCAAAUUCUCUCAGUUCAGGAUCCUGAGUACGGCGGAACACGUGAAAUUCCGUCGGAAUCCGGGAGGACCAUUUCCCAAGGCUAAAUACUACCUAGUGACCGAUAGUGAACCAGUACCGUGAGGGAAAGGUGAAAAGCACCCCGGGAGGGGAGUGAAAUAGUUCCUGAAACCAUGUGCCUACAAUAAGUCAGAGCGCGUUAAUGCGUGAUGGCGUGCCUUUUGUAGAAUGAACCGGCGAGUUAUGAUCCCGUGCAAGGUUAAGACUAAAAAGUCGGAGCCGUAGCGAAAGCGAGUCUGAAAUGGGCGAUUUGAGUACGAGGUUAUAGACCCGAAACCAGGUGACCUAUCCAUGUCCAGGUUGAAGGUGCGGUAAAACGCACUGGAGGACCGAACCCGUGUAAGUUGAAAAUUGCUGGGAUGAGGUGUGGAUAGCGGUGAAAUUCCAAACGAACUUGGAGAUAGCUGGUUCUCUCCGAAAUAGCUUUAGGGCUAGCCUCGGAUUAAGGAUCAUGGAGGUAGAGCACUAUUUGGACUAGGGGCCCGUCUUGGGUUACUGAAUUCAGAUAAACUCCGAAUGCCAUUGAUUCAUGUCCGGGAGUCAGACGAUGAGUGAUAAGAUCCACCGUCGAAAGGGGAACAGCCCAGACCAUCAGUUAAGGUCCCUAAAUGUAUGCUAAGUGGAAAAGGAUGUGGAGUUGCAUAGACAACUAGGAUGUUGGCUCAGAAGCAGCCACCAUUUAAAGAGUGCGUAAUAGCUCACUAGUCGAGUGAUCCUGCGCCGAAAAUGUACCGGGGCUAAGCAUACUACCGAAACCAUGGAUGCGACCAUUAGGUCGCGUGAUAGGAGAGCGUUCUAAGGGCGGUGAAGCAAGAUCGUGAGGACUUGUGGAGCGCUUAGAAGUGAGAAUGCCGGUAUGAGUAGCGAAAGAUAGGUGAGAAUCCUAUCCACCGAAUGACUAAGGUUUCCUGGGGAAGGCUCGUCCUCCCAGGGUUAGUCGGGACCUAAGUCGAGGCCGAGAGGCGUAGACGAUGGAUAACAGGUUGAGAUUCCUGUACUAGUUAAGUGCGUUUGAGCAAUGGAGGGACGCAGGAGGCUAAGAUGUGCAUUCUGUUGGAUUAGAAUGUCCAAGCAGUAAGUCUUGUGGAGAGUCAAAUGCUUUUCACUUUAAGGACAAGCUGUGAUGGGGAGCGAAAUUUAGUAGCGAAGCGUCUGAUGUCACACUGCCGAGAAAAGCUUCUAGUGAGUACUUAACUACCCGUACCGCAAACCGACACAGGUAGUCGAGGAGAGAAUCCUAAGGUGAGCGAGUGAACUCUCGUUAAGGAACUCGGCAAAAUGACCCCGUAACUUCGGGAGAAGGGGUGCUGAUCGCAAGAUCAGCCGCAGUGAAUAGGCCCAGGCGACUGUUUAUCAAAAACACAGGUCUCUGCAAAAUCGUAAGAUGACGUAUAGGGGCUGACGCCUGCCCGGUGCUGGAAGGUUAAAAGGAUGGGUUAGCUUCGGCGAAGCUCAGAAUUGAAGCCCCAGUAAACGGCGGCCGUAACUAUAACGGUCCUAAGGUAGCGAAAUUCCUUGUCGGGUAAGUUCCGACCCGCACGAAAGGCGUAACGAUCUGGGCACUGUCUCAACGAGAGACUCGGUGAAAUUAUAUUGUCCGUGAAGAUGCGGACUACCCGCGACAGGACGGAAAGACCCCAUGGAGCUUUACUGUAGCUUGAUAUUGAGUGUUUGUACAGCUUGUACAGGAUAGGUAGGAGCCAUAGAAACCGGAACGCUAGUUUCGGUGGAGGCGUUGGUGGGAUACUACCCUCGCUGUAUGACCACUCUAACCCGCACCACUAAUCGUGGUGGGAGACAGUGUCAGGUGGGCAGUUUGACUGGGGCGGUCGCCUCCUAAAAAGUAACGGAGGCGCCCAAAGGUUCCCUCAGAAUGGUUGGAAAUCAUUCGCAGAGUGUAAAGGCACAAGGGAGCUUGACUGCGAGACAGACAGGUCGAGCAGGGACGAAAGUCGGGCUUAGUGAUCCGGUGGUACCGUAUGGAAGGGCCAUCGCUCAACGGAUAAAAGCUACCCUGGGGAUAACAGGCUUAUCUCCCCCAAGAGUCCACAUCGACGGGGAGGUUUGGCACCUCGAUGUCGGCUCAUCGCAUCCUGGGGCUGUAGUCGGUCCCAAGGGUUGGGCUGUUCGCCCAUUAAAGCGGUACGCGAGCUGGGUUCAGAACGUCGUGAGACAGUUCGGUCCCUAUCCGUCGCGGGCGUAGGAAAUUUGAGAGGACCUGUCCUUAGUACGAGAGGACCGGGAUGGACAUACCUCUGGUGUACCAGUUGUGCCGCCAGGCGCAUCGCUGGGUAGCUACGUAUGGAUGUGAUAAACGCUGAAAGCAUCUAAGUGUGAAACACACCUCGAGAUGAGAUUUCCCAUUCCUUUAUGGAAGUAAGACCCCUGAAAGAUGAUCAGGUAGAUAGGUUAGAAGUGGCAGUGCGGUGACGCAUGAAGCGGACUAAUACUAAUCGGUCGAGGACUUAACCAA